This is a long non-coding RNA of Arvicola amphibius (Eurasian water vole), 1791 nucleotides long. RefSeq lists it as uncharacterized. NCBI's taxonomy places the organism in Eukaryota, Metazoa, Chordata, Mammalia, Rodentia, Cricetidae. The transcript is spliced from 5 exons. The record is from RefSeq and is a predicted model, not a curated record.
CAGCGCGAGGCCUAUGCUCGCCCCGGGCCUGGAGCGGCCGCUGGGUCCCCGGGGGCUUCUCCCUCCGGCUGCAGUCGGCGAGAGUCCCGCCGCGAGCACCCACCUGAGUCCACGGCCUCGCAUCGCGGGCUCGCACGGGUGCUCCGGCCGGCCGCUCGCCCGGCGCUGCUCCUGGCCGCGUUCAGCCUCCCUUUUAAAGAGCACGGCCCCCCACAGUCCCCAGGGUGGGGAAGGCCUCGGCCCUGCCGGGGACAUUUGGGGAAAGGGGCAGGGCCAGAAAGUGUUUUGAGUUCCUCCAGGUGUCUGCGAUUCCAUUGGCAGGCAGGAAAAUUCUGGGUAGGGCGUGCAUUCUGUUUGGUAUUUGUCCAGAGUUGGGAGGUGGGGGUGGACACCCUAGAAGCGCUUGACUACCUGCUGUUCUACACAGACAACGUGCCCCCUCCCAGGAAGUCCCGAUUGUUUGGGACAAUUAAAACACGCGCCCGUUUCUGUCUUUGAAAGAAGCACUCUUAAGUGUUUUCAGAAUGUUGGAGUCUGAAUUUAUAAACCAGUCAACCUGGCAGGGCGCAGUGACCCGCUCCUUAAAUCCCAGCACUGAGGAGGCAGAGGCAGUGCUGAAGGAGGAUUUCUGGAAGGAAGCUGUGUCUGCAGAGACUGGCUGACUAUAGCUGCUGUACUAUGAAAAGCUCAGAAUGCUGCAGGGCCAGAGGCGCAUCAACUGAUCGUGGACGGCCUCUAGGACCUCACUAUGUCAUUCAGGUUGAACACAAACUCGGCAUCCUGCAUAGAAGAGCAAGGUUUAAAGGGUCAAUCAUCCCGGUCCUUGGCAGGACUCUCCAGCUCAGCAGUGCUUUGAGCUAUAUCAUAACUGUGAUAAGACAAGGCUUGGCCACACAAGUUAGAAGUAAAUGAAAAUUCUGAAGAAUUGCAUGGGAUGAAAGGAGGAUUUAGAAGAAGAUCCCAAACCUUCUUAAACCUCAGCAAGUGGAGCACCAAGAGGACUAUGGGACUUCAGGAGUUAGCAUCUACCGGGAGGACGUUAGGUCGUUGGGCAUGUACCCAUGGAGGGCUGACCAGCCCUUCCUGCCAUGCCCUCCGCUCACCGUUCUCUCCCCUUCUCUCCUUUCUGGCUGAAUAUGUGACACUUGUUCGCCUCGUGUGUGCUCCUGUCCUAGUUAGGGUUUCUAUUGCUCUGAAGAGACACCAUGGCCACAGCAACUUUUACAAAAGAAAACAGGUCACUGAUGUGGCGGCUCAUAGUUCAGAGGUUCAGUCCGUCAUCCUCAUGGCAGGAAGCAAGGUGACUGCAGUCAGACCUGAUACAGUCUGUCUUGAUCAGAAGGCAACAGGAAGUGGACUGGGGCACUGAGCAAAGCUUAAGCAAAAGAGACCUCAAAGCCCGCCCCCACAGUGACGCACUUCCUCCAACAAGACCACACCCUGUGAGCUUAUGGGGGCCAAUUACGUUCAUACCACCCCAACUGUCUCCCCCAAAGCCCAAACCAGUGAUGCUGCCUGAUAUUAGACUUGCACCUCGAGACAAACACGAGUGGAAACAGACUUCGCAAACGCAGCCCUGUGCGUGCUGUGCAAGGACCCCACCAGCUGGGCUACACCGUCAGGUCAGCUCUUAUUUAUGGUUUUCUUUGUUCUUAAGAUUUAACAUAUUUUUCUGAUGAUGAGAUUACCGAAAUUUAAAUUUUUUUUGAUGAGCACAGUAUUCAUAUACUUUCUUUCUUUAUCUUUUGUUUUCUUUGUUUUUUUGUUUUGUUUUCUUUUGCCUUUUGGUUU